AAGACUGAGGAAUAUGUCCUGGGAACCCUUGCUUUGAAAGGGAAAAGACCAGAGGAUUUUGGAAGUUAAACUAUGAGGAUCUUAAUUUUUGUCUUGGUGUUAGGUGUUUUCUCAUGUUUGGGAUUCCCAGUGUAUGACUAUGAGCUCCCUGUCACAGAAGAAGCUCUCAAUGUUUCUAUUGCAAGGAUCAACUCCCAGUCAUGGGGGACAAACCUGUAUGGUGUUGUCAGGAGCCGUGUCACAAGAGUUGAGAUGUGGAACAGUGACGAUUACAGACUAGAGCUGCAGUUCAGCAUUCGUGAAACUGUGUGCACCAAAGCUUCAGGGAGAGACCCAUUCACCUGUGACUUCAAAAUAGGACCCUUUGUGCCAACCAGUUUCUGCAGCAGUGUGGUGGAAGUCUCUGGAGAGCUGAUCUCGAACAUUGUUGUCCAGUGCCGUGGAGGCAGAUACAGCUCCGAAUCUAUCAGCAGUGAGGAGAUGAUGCAUGUGCCAGUAAUGAGCCCCAGCAGGCAAGGAAGCAGUCCCAGAGAAGAUUUAUUUGCUCCUGAAGCCUUGCCUUCAAGGAGAAGAGGCAGCAGACGUGAAGAUUGGCACAGAUCCAGCUAUUUCAGCUCUGCCAAGAUUGAAUAGUGUGGCUUGGGAAGAUAUCCCAACUACAGAGCUCCCAGCUCACUCUCAAGUAGCCCAUCCUGGAUGUUCACACACACACCUGUGUCCCACUGUGCAGGUAGUGUGAAUGAAAACCCAACUCCUGACCUGAGGUCAGCAUUUGGCUCAGACCUUGAGCUACAGUUCAUCCUUUUUACUUCCAUCUCUCUUGGCUAGCAGAGACACAUUCCUGUCCAAUGUUUCCUGCAUACGUUGGACAUUACCCAAACUAGUUGCCCUUAGCAGAGGUGUGAGAUCUGGAACAUUCCCUCACUGUUUACGGGCAAAGACAAGGGAUUAGACCCUCUGCUGCACUAGGAAAUUUUCCUGCUUCUGGAGGAUGCAAACUGUGAAUGAUUCCUUGACUACACUGUGCCUUUAGGCCUAAUUUCACAGAAUCACAGAAUGUUUUAGGUUGGAAGAAACCUCCAAGAUCAUCCAGUCCAACCUUUGACCAGCACCAUAAGCUAACUAUUAAACCAUGUCCUUAAGGACCAGGUUCAAGACCCUUAAUGUAAUUCCUGGAGGAAACCAACAGGACUUCACCAGAGGAACAGAAGCCUUCUUAAAGCCUACUUACUGUUCCAUGUUGCAUUUUGCAAGCACUAGGAACGAACUUUUCAAAGCUGGAAUUUCCCAUGUUCUCUCUUCUUCCUCAUUCUUCUCUUGCCACUUAGUCCCCAGUGAUGAGUGCAGUGGCUUGUCCUGGUUUUUCUUCCUGCAUCCCCCAUCUCCAGGGCUGGGCAGGUCCCAGAUACUCCUGGACAAGCUGCUCUCAGAGAGUCACUUCAUCCAUCACUACCACACAUGGGGACACUCUUUCAUGGCACAAAUUUAUCCCUAAAGUUUUAUUAACAAAAUUGUCUUACUGAAAAAAUUCAGGUUACCAUGGUGACAAACUUACUGAAGGUACAAGCCUCAGCUACAGACUGCUGUAGAAGCAGUCACAUGUUUUCUUAGAAUCACAUAUCUCAGAUUCCCUCUGCAUAUGGUACCUCUUAUUGAGAUACAUUUGUCAGAAGACUUUGUACCAGCUUAUAACCUCAACCAUCUCUAUUUUUGAGGCUUUACAAUUGUUGUUGAUUUGUGUCUCACGUUACAUAUUUCACUGCUGUUAAUUUUUCUAGCAGUCCAAUACUUAUUUUUAAUACUAAUUAGCAACUGACAUGACAUUUUUUGCAUAUGUGAACUGUUUUGCCUAUGCAGGUGUCUUUUUACAGACUCCUCAUUGCGUGAUUCUGAUGCUAAACAAACUAAUAAGCAACUCAGUGGAGUUUUUUUCCUAGCCCAUGGAUGUUUUGUUAGCUCUGUGAAGCAUGCCACAAAUUGUGAGCUAUGACAUUUCUCCCUGUUUUAUUUUUUUUAAACUAGAUUGGAAAAUUAGAAGAAUCCAGCAUGUGAAGAAUGAACCUGAUGCAGUUUCCUUUUCUUUUUCAUGGAAAACUCUCCUGUAAUGAUGUGACAGUCUUUUUGCUGUUAUGUCAAGUGCCUAUUGGAUGAGUUCAUGCCUGCACUUGUCAGUCAGUCCCUGCCUUCUGAUGUGUUUGAGUUCACUGGGUGGGCUGUCUCUGACACCUGGUGUAGCUGUGUCCACCACAUGUUGUACCAUCUCAUACUGAUGCUAUUAAAGGAUGAUUAUUUCAUCUG
This is an RNA transcript of Calypte anna (Anna's hummingbird), 2298 nucleotides long. It is a transcript of the gene named secreted phosphoprotein 2, with no coding region annotated. The transcript has 8 exons. Lineage: Eukaryota; Metazoa; Chordata; Aves; Apodiformes; Trochilidae. The record is from RefSeq and is a predicted model, not a curated record.